CUGACAAAACAACAAUUUAUUGUUGUUUGUAAAGUUCUCAAUGUUUAUCGAAAGAUAAACACCAACAACACAUUCAAGUGUGCUUGGUAUCGAAUAAGACUUCGGUCUUGUUCAAAUUUGAGUCCGGCAAAA
This 132-nucleotide small RNA is filed under the name Vibrio cholerae O1 biovar El Tor str. N16961. The record is from RNAcentral. Lineage: Bacteria; Pseudomonadati; Pseudomonadota; Gammaproteobacteria; Vibrionales; Vibrionaceae.